CUUAGCGAAAAAGGCCCUGAUUCUGCAAAAGUAAAAAACAUCCAAUUUCUCUGCUUGCAUAGCAUAAUUUGCAACAUUAUUGCACAUGCAUCGCAAACUUUAUUAUAUAAGCCCCUUGCAAAUACCAAUUCCACUUUACAACGACAGGGAAUCAUUAUUUUUUGCUCAAGUUCUGUGUUGUGUUACGUAACUCGCAAAUCGAUAUCGGAUCUACAAUAUGGCGACCACAUAUUCAUUUAGCUGUGUAGGUGAAAAAUAUUCACAGAAAACUUAAAGGUACGGACUUCUGUAACAUUUUCAACACACUAAUUUGAUGAAAAGAUGUAUUAUUUAGACAAUGAUCUUAUCAGAUGAAGCUGUCAACACAAUAUUUAUCAUUUAUUUUGAUAAAGAAAGUGUCCAGAAAAUGUUCUGACCAAAUGACCAUUGACACCUACACACUGUCAACUUUCAGAAUUGUUUAAAUUCAUGAGAUUCCAAUAGUAUUUUCUCCAGUACCUUGAAAAGCUCAUGAAUUAAUUAUAGAAUACUUGCAUAGUGAUAUUUUCAUGGGAUUUGGUUGUCAUUUGGUGAAAAUGGUCAUGUUGGUCAAAACAUUUUCAGGACACUUUUUUAACACAAUAAUUAAAUAAUUAAUGUCAAGAAAGAUAACAGUCUCCAGAUCCCUGAAUAAAAUACUAAAGACAGAGCAACAGGAACCCCACCAUCAACUUUGGGUAAUUUCAUGUUUAUCACAUGUGGUACACAUAGCAUACUUAUCGGACCACAGAUGAAUUAUCACGUUGUGAUUGGUUAAACGCUGUCACGUGGUGACCCCCUAUGAGACGGUAUGGGGUUAGUAAGUUUCAUAUGGGGUUCAUGACACGUUAAUGGCGACGUCAUCUAUUAAUGUUGUUGUGUUUCAUUGUUUAUUUUUCAACAAAACGCCGCAGAAAAAGUCCAGCGUCCGAUAAAUUCGUUAUACGGUUAACUAAUGACCCCCUACGGAUCCAUAGAGAGUGAAUAAAAUUCAUAGGGGACUCAGCCUCCGGCCUCACCCCCUAUGAAUUUUACUAACCCUCUAUGGAUCCGUAUGGGGUCAGUAGCGAACCAUAUAACUUAUAAUAGUGUUACUCAUACAUGUCAUAGGAAGGAAAUAUUUGAUUGUUGGUCUCAUCCUGUGAAAAGGGACAGGAGAAUGACUAUGAAAAUUGAUAUUCUCAAUAAACAGUCAACCUGCAAUACCCUUUCAAAGUGGGUCUCAUUGUGGUCUAUUAAGUGUGACGCAGGAUUGCUGAUUUUUUGUAAACAAGAAAGUCAAAUUAUUGUGUUUUGAAAAUGGGUAAUGAAGUCUAGCGAGACACAAGAAAUUAUAAAAAAAUGAGAAUUGCUUACGUAAACAUAGUGUUAGCAGGAUACAUGUAUGUGAAUCAGACAAAACAGUAAGCCCCCCCCCCCCCCCCCCCCCCCCCCCCCCCCCCAAGUGAGACCCCUUCAUUUAGAUUUCUAUGUGUUUUGACAUUAAAAUAUUUGUACUGUCAAAAACCAAAAAAAAUAAAUAUACAUUGUACCAUACAAACUCCAUUGCUCCCACUGUGACAUUUUAUAAUUUUAUUGUGCAAAAUAUUUUUAAUUAAAAGGUUAUUGUUCAAACCUCUUUAACCUAAGGAUAGUUAAAUUUUAAUUAUUUAAAAAGCUCUGCAAGCCUAACACUUUAAAUAUUAUUUAACUGUCUCAAGGUGAGAAGUAUCAUUACACACUUGUUGCAGUGGUGGAAUCUAUAUUUCUCCUCACUAGAUGACGAAAUAUCUGUUCUUUGCAAAUGAUUUGACACUUGUUUCCUUGCACUAUUGAUGUUUAUCUGUCUUAGUGAUGGUCAUUUUGCAGGAUAAACAAAAAAUAAUGGUUGUUCCAUUGUACUUAAUCACAAUUCCCUUAUAACAGCAAUUUAAGAAAUUUAAUUUGUCGAUUUAUUCAUGCAAUUCAACUGCUCACUCAACAUGGGAAGUGAGAAUGGCCUGAAAAGCAUGAAUGCUGUUCAUUAUAACCAAAUUUUUAAUAAAAAUGCAUCUAAGUUGGAACUAGUACAUAUUUGUGUUUUAAGGGGCCAGCUGAAGCACACCUCUGGUCAUAGGAUUUUUCACUGUGUUGAAGACUCAUUAUAUAUUAGUGGCUUUCAGCUGUUUUCUGCUUUUUGGUCGGGUUGUUGUCUCUUUGACACAUUUCUCAUUUCCAUUCUCAAUUUUAUUUGCUUUCAAUGAUUGAGACAAUACUGCAUUCUUGUAAGCUCAAUGACAAAGUUAUAUACCAAAUUACCAAUUAACAAGUAAAGCAUCCUCAUUUUUUUCACACUUUCGCCUUGUUCCAAAUAUAUAUCAUUCUAUAAAAUAAGUUUGGGAACAAGAGUUAAAUAAAAGUGUGUUUCUUUGAGCUGCUCCAGUAUGAUGUGAUAUUUUAUAGACUGUACUUUUAAAAAUUGAUAAGGUAAUGAUAUAAUUUUGGAUGUACAUGUAACAUAUUUUCUGAUUGGCUGACAGUGUUAUGUGUCUCAGUUCAUAGACAUAAUUUUGUCAUGUGACCGUUACAUCAUCAAUGUUUUUUCAUAAUUUGCUCCUGUCUAAAAUGGAAUUGAGAAUUAAAUUAUAAGGAAUGACUAUGAUAUUUUUUUCUGUCUAUUCCAAAUAACAUAUAAAAUGCUAUAAACACUUUAGAAUAACCCUUUAUGUGCACCACAUUUUUUUUAUGUUAUUUCUUCAUAGACACAAAAAAUAUUACAGUCACUCCUUAAACAUCUACAUAUAUAUCUUUGUACUUAUAAAAUUGCAAGUCGUAAUGCAACUUCUGUAAAUGACAUAAGCUUAUUAGCACUGGAAAAUAUGAGACACUAAAUAUUCAUCUAAUGAUUUGAUAAUCCUACAGUAUCAAUCGAUAUCAGUAAGCCUGAAAUGGGAAAGAAAUUCUAUAAUUUCAAUAGCCUUUCUAUUAGUUUUAUAAGGAUCUUUUUGAAAAGUGACUUACAUGUUUCUUGAUAACAAAUUACUCUUACUGAAAAGAACAAUGUCUAAGGAUGAAAGGUAAACUAGGUCUAAGGAUGAAAGGUAAACUAGGUCUUAGGAUGAAAGGUAAACUAGGUUUAAGGAUGAAAGGUAAACUAGGUUUAUAAAUUUUACAUUAUUUUCUCAAAUUGAUUCCUUAUUUUUAUCAAGGUAUGUCUUAAAAAGGGGGGGCAUCAUCUUGUGUGUUAUGGACAUUUAUUUCGAUAUAUAUCAGGCUUUUAUUUGGAACUAUUCUUAAUUAUGGAAUUUGCAUUAUUUCUUGUACUUGAAACUUUUAAUGAAUUCCAUGUUUAUUUGGUAGUAUAAUGUUUUGAGUGGUUCAUAACACCUCCCAUACAAUGUAUUUUGUAAAGAUAGUGUUAUGUGCGGCACAAUACAUUCUAUUAAAAAUGUACUGUCUUCUCUGUAAUAGAAAGUGUUGUGUGCAGCACAGAACAUUAAAGUACAGAAGAAACAUGGAAUUUAUCAAAAAUUUCAAGCACAAGAAAUAAUGCAAAUUCCAUAAUCAAAAAUCAAAAAAAAGUUGAAAUAAUAGCCUGUUACCAUAUAGUGCGUUAUUUUCGGGGGGUGUAAAUAUAAAAUUUAAAAUUUAAAAGUUCACAUGCAAAGGUAUUCAGGAAAGUUUGAAUAUUUUUUAUUAUACCCCCGCUUUAAAAAAGGGGGGGUAUACUAUUUUACCUCUGUCUGUCAGUCCGUCCGUCAGUCCGUCCAUCAGUCCGUCCGUCCAUCAGUCCGUCCGUCAGUCAGUCCGUCCCAUGAAACUUCGUCACAUUUUUCUCAGGAACCACACAUCCACCCUUUCUGUAAUUUGGUAUCAACAUUUAUAUAUGUCAGCCAUACCGUGUGAUGCGUUUUCAGAUUCAUCACUUGACAACUUCCUGUUUACCUAACACUUGUCUGAUUUUACACAUGAUAGCCAAGUUGAAAAUUUUCGUCACAUUUUUCUCAGGAACUACAAUACAAGGAUUUCUGAAAUUUGGUUUCAGGAUUUAUAUAAGUCAGGUAUACCGUGUGAUGCGUUUUCAGAUUCAUCACUCGACAACUUCCUGUUUACCGAACACUUGUAUGAUUUUACACAUGAUAACCAAGUUAAAAAUUUUCGUCACAUUUUACUCAGGAACUACAAUACAAGGAUUUCUGAAAUUUGGUUUUCAGGAUUUUUUAUAAGUCAGCUAUACCGUGUGAUGCGUUUCAGAUUCAUCACUCGACAACUUCCUGUUUACCGAACACUUCCAUAUUUUUUACACUAUUAAUAUUAUCCACUUGCGGCGGGGGUAUCAUCAGUGAGCAGUAGCUCGCAGUUUCACUUGUUAUACCCUUAAUUCAAUGAAAAUCCCGAAAUUUUACACUCGCUAAACAUGCUAAAAUAUACCUGCUAUAUGGUACAUAUACAGAGUUUAUAUGGUCCUGCAACAAAGUUGUUGGUGACAUAUAGUUUUACCCCUUGUCCGUAGUUCCAUGAUUCCGAAAUUUGGUAAUUCCGUAAUUCUGUCAUUCCGUCAUUCCACAACAAAUCAUUAUACAGAGUUGAACUAUAUGUAAUCAAGCUAUGGGAAAAAAGUAAGGGUUACUGGCAAAAAUUUUAAUGGAACUACACAUUCUACAUGACUACGAUGAUGAUGAUUAAAACCAGAUGAUUCCAAAUACAUGUAUCUGUAUUAUCAAAAAUUAAAAUACUUGAGGAGCACAUAUCCUUAACUUAUAUUUCAUUUAUUAUUGAUCCUCUUUCUUUGAUUUAAUUUCAUCAGGAAAGCUGCAUACAAUAUUUCAAUAAGUCUAUACAUGCUAUAUACAAUGAUAUAAGAUGACCGGCCACCCCAUAUUCUAAUUUUCAAGAAUGUACUUUUGAAUUUGCAAUGUAGAAUAAUAUGCUUGAUAAAUCAUCUUUGAAAUAUUGAUAUCACGUUGUCCAUAAAUGAAAUAAACUUCUUUCCAUUGGAAAAUCCCAGACACUAAUUAUUCUUGUAAGGAUUGGAUGAUCAUGCUGUAUUAAUCUCUUGGCUGAAAAAGAGAAGAACUUUUGUAAUCAGAAUAAGGUAUUUGAGUUUAAUAUUAAUGUAUACUAUAAGUAAUCUUUUUUUAAAAGAGUAAAAUUCAUUAUACAUUUUGUAAUUGAGGCAUAAUAUUCUGAAGGAAAGCAAAGAUGCCUGAAGACAAAAGGGUAUACUAGGUACAGCAGUUUUCAAACAAGUUAUUUUAAUUAAGUUAAUUCAAUCAAUUUAUGCUAAGGCCAAAUAAAAAUAUAUGUGUGGUUCCAGUAACCCUAUAUAUCUACCGUCCCUACUUUUUUGGCUUAAAAAUAGCCUACCCUAAAGAUUUUAUUGUCAUUUUUCAUUAAGCACUGUUAAAGUCAGAAUGUUGCUCCCAUAGACUCAAUGUUAAAAUAAAAAAAAAUCCGUACCUACCUACCCUAACUUUUUUCAGAUGUAACUGGAACCACACAUACUUUUUUAUUUGGCCUAAAUUCAAUGUCAGGUGAAAAAUAGGAUGUUUAAAAAAAAAAAAAAGUUGGUCUAUUGGUCUAUUGGUUGAAUAUCAUCAGUCAAAAUCCUUGAAAAAUUCAAUAUAAAAAUUGACAGUAACCAUUUUAACAAAUCCCUUGAAAUCAUACUUGUGAAUUUGACUUCAAAUAGAAAAGAGUGGUGUUUACGUUUGAUACAUUAAACAGUAUUGGUAAGUGGAUGGUUACAACAUAAAGUUACGGUCAGCCAGAAAUAGGAGAAUUUACUUAUUUAUUUAUUUUUUUUUGAAUUUUCAUAAUUUUGAAAAUAAUCUACAGACAUACCUAAAAAUAUAUAGCUUAUAUAUAUUUAUUUUUAUUACUUCAACUACUCACAUUAUAUAUUUUUUUCAUAACCUGUGCAUUUGUUAUAUUAGAUAAUUAUGGUUGAUUAUCUUAAUGGUAAACUUCAUUUUUUGAUAUUACUGAUAUGGUAUAUAAUAUUUUCAAAUAUGGAAAAUUGUAUGUAUAAUACUAACAAAAACUAACAGUUGUAUAUAUAUGUUAUUUACUAAUGUUAACGAGGCCGGGAUAAGUACCGGUACUUGAGUGUUUGAAAACUAACAAAUGUACAGAUUUCAAUAAAAUAUGAUAAAUUAAAAAAAAAAAAAAAAAAAAAAAAAGUUGGUCUAUUGGUCUAUUGGUUGAAUAUCAUCAGUCAAAAUCCUUGAAAAAUUCAAUAUAAAAAUUGACAGUAACCAUUUUAACAAAUCCCUUGAAAUCAUACUUGUGAAUUUGACUUCAAAUGAAAAGAGUGGUGUUUACGUUUGAUACAUUAAACAGUAUUGGUAAGUGGAUGGUUACAACAUAAAGUUACGGUCAGCCAGAAAUAGGAGACAACUCUAGAUAUGUUUUUCUUUUCCGAUUUUCGUGCAGUAUAAGGUUCAUUUCAUCGGAACGGCUUAUCUCAAACACCCAAAUCAUUAUAGUAAGUUGAUUUUUGGAGCAGAUAACAGCCGAAGGCCACCAAUGGGUCUUCAACACAGAGAGGAAAUACCACCCUUGGAGGUGGGUGUCUGAGCUGGCCUAAGGCCAAAUAAAAAUAUAUGUGUGAUUCCAGUAACCAAAACGUCCCUACUUUUUCAGCUUAAAUAUAGCCUACCCUAAAGAUUUUAUUGUCAUUUUACAUUAAGCACUGUAAAAGUCAGAAUGUUGCUCCCAUAGACUCAAUGUAAAUAAAAAACAUAAAAUAAAAAAAAAUCCCUACCUACAUGUACAUGUACCUACCCUAACUUUUUUUCAGAUUAACUGGAACAACACAUACUUUUUUAUUUGUCCUAAAUAAAAAUGUGUACUAGUUACAAUGUAAGUGAAUAUGUAUUGAGGAUUGAGAAACACAAAUGCUAAAUAGUUUGAAUUAAUUUAUUUACUGGCUUUGUGGUGUUGUGGUAAGGAGUUCACCUCGAGUACAUGUUAUUGGAUAUUCUAACAACUCCUGGGUCAAACCGAACACUUCGAAAUUGGUAUUUGUUUAUUCUCCGCUCAGCAGUCUACAAAAUGUACUUUAUAGAGUAAGUGUAAAGACUGGUUGGCUUGAAGUUGGAAUAAUUUGUCCAGGUACGGGGAAUAUAAAAAAAGAAGAUGAUGUAUGAUUGUCAAUGAGACAACUCUCCACAAGAGACCAAAAUAACAGAAAUUAACAACUAUAGGUCACCGUUCAGCCUUCAACAAUGAGCAAAGCCCAUACCGCAAAGUCAGCUAUAACAGGCCCUGAAAUGACAAUGUAAAACAAUGUCUACCUGUGGACUCACCUUCUGAACUAGCAUGUUAAAAUUCUGGCACAGCAUGUCAGUCUGCUACAAAGCAGUGUUAAUUUUCAUUUAUCAUAUAUAUUUCAUGCCUAAUACAGUGCUUUUCACAUAUGUGUGAUGACCAAAAGAAGACAAGCCGUAUUUGCACACCCAGUCUGAUAACCAAUUAUUAGCCCUAUGACGUCACUGGUAGAAAUCCAUAUCAGCUUCAAGUGUUAAUCUUCUUCAUUUUUCAGAAGUAUAUGAUAAAGAGAUUAAUAAAUGGCCUUUUCCAUGGGCUUUGCUCAUUGUUGAAGGCCGUACGGUGACCCAUAGUUGUUAAUGUCUGUGCCAUUUUGGUCUCUUGUGGACACAGUUGUCACAUUGGCAAUCAUACCUCAUCUUCUUUUUUAUAUUUUCCAAAUCGGCCUAGGUAUCAUCCCUAGACCGAUAUAAGCAUCUAGACUUCAUCUUGUGCUGAUAUGGGAAUCUUAGGAUGAUACCCGGGCUGAUAUGAAAAAGGCCAUUUAUUAAUCUCUAUGUUUCAUUAACAUGUUUUUUUCCUGAACACUGUAGACACAUUAAUUUUCGUAGGGAUUUAAUUACGUGGUUUCCAUUAAAUGGUAGUGAUAUUAUAUGAAGGUUACAUUUCGUGGGGUUUUUAAUUUCGUGCGUGGAUAUAUUCUUCCCACGAAAUAAACGAAAUUAAAUCCUCCACGAAAAUUUCUGCCUUUACAGUAUGCAUUAAUUUUGCAGCUAGACAUGAGACCUGCACCGAGCCAUCAUAAUCAUUAUGAUAAAAAUAUUUUGUUAGUGUUUUUAAUCCUUUUGCCUUUUUUAAUAGGAACAAUGGUAAAGGUUCUGCAGUGGAUUUACCAUAGUCAUGAGUGACUCGUCACCCCAGAAGAAGGAAACUUUGGAAGAAAGACAGCAAGCCUUAAGGUAGGCAUUUUUUAGUUU
Molecule: long non-coding RNA, 8225 nt
Filed under: Mytilus galloprovincialis (Mediterranean mussel)
Lineage: Eukaryota; Metazoa; Mollusca; Bivalvia; Mytilida; Mytilidae
Source: RNAcentral